CCACCAGAAGUAGUUAUUUUCAAAAUUUCUAUCCUGUUCCAAGGACAAUCAGCGUGAAAGUUGAUGUAGUGAGUUUGGCUCUCCUCCCCCCUGCUCAUCUACAGGGAUGCUAAUUAGACCAUUCAGAGUCGUCAGUUUGGCCACAUUUGGAUGCUAAUAACCCAGUUUGGCCCUCUCUCGGUAGCUCUAGGAAGAUACCCAAUCUGGCCCCUCUUGGUAGAGAUAGGAAUUUCUCAAAAUCCUGGUAGUCCUAGUGCUAGAGUAGGAGUUGAGUUU
This is a long non-coding RNA of Xiphophorus hellerii (green swordtail), 276 nucleotides long. RefSeq lists it as uncharacterized. NCBI's taxonomy places the organism in Eukaryota, Metazoa, Chordata, Actinopteri, Cyprinodontiformes, Poeciliidae. The record is from RefSeq and is a predicted model, not a curated record. The transcript has 4 exons.